Molecule: transfer RNA, 82 nt
Filed under: Chloroflexi bacterium RBG_13_56_8b
Lineage: Bacteria; Bacillati; Chloroflexota
Also listed under: 2 other names
Description: tRNA-Leu
Rfam family: tRNA
About the family: Transfer RNA (tRNA) molecules are approximately 80 nucleotides in length. Their secondary structure includes four short double-helical elements and three loops (D, anti-codon, and T loops).
Source: RNAcentral
GGGGAAGUGCUGGAAUUGGCAGACAGGCUGGACCUAGGAUCCAGUGGAGCAAUCCGUGGGGGUUCAAAUCCCCCCUUCCCCA